AAUACACGCAGAAUUUGAAGAUCUUAGUUUCGCACAAUCCCGCAUAGCGUUUUGGCUACCUGGGUAGCCACGGGCACCAGAAGGCUACCAGUACUGUUUCAAUGACAAUAUCAAAAAGCUGUCAAUCAAAGAAACCCUGAACGAUUUUGUUGUGAAGGUGUAAGUGUUCCUAUAGCCAGGUGGAAACCGUGGAAACGCAAAACAAAGUAGAAAAAUUAUUUCACCAGAAGUGAAUACAAGCUCGUGGAUUAUUCCUUCCUUUUGAUUGUCGAACGAAUUAAUAGACUUGGAGUGGAUAUUAUAGCCAGUCAGGAAAAUCUGUUUUGUCUGUAGCACUAAUAAAAUGUCAAGAAAUACAAAAUACAACAAAGCAAAGAGGGAACUUAACCGCCUUAUGCGGAUGGAAGAAGGACUUUUAUUGGUAGAUUCAGAGGACUCUGUCUGUAGCCUUAGUCUAAAACGCAGCUGCUUAAAAACUUGUAGAACGAUUAGAGUCAGACGUCGGAAAGCAGCCAUAGAAGCGUGACAGCAAGAAAAUCAAUCAGACCACCCGCACUAAUUACACCCCAGAGUUGCUCAUCAUUAGGAUCAUUCUUAUAGAAGCAGCAAGGCAGUAUUACUUAUUUUUGUAAUCUACGCGACAACACAUGUGACUAUAGCUACCGGAUUUUGAACUGUUGUAUCUGCCUGUGGCUUCCCCGGAUAAAAGUGUUAUCGUUCGAGAUGCACCAUCAACGCUCUCAUCGUCUAACGUUGCUACAUCAGCAUGCAGAAUCAAUGGAUCUGCUGGAAACGUUACGUUAGAAACGACACCAAAUGUUCCGCAGUCAGAUCAGUGAAAAUUCACCACUAAUUAUAAAUAAAUAAUUCGAGAGUUGUUCACUAUUAUAUUUCGGAAAAUGAAUAAAAUUGUUUGAGUUUAA
Molecule: long non-coding RNA, 923 nt
Organism: Malaya genurostris
Lineage: Eukaryota; Metazoa; Arthropoda; Insecta; Diptera; Culicidae
Exons: 5
Source: RefSeq, a predicted model, not a curated record